GGCUCAGAUUGAACGCUGGCGGCAUGCCUUACACAUGCAAGUCGAACGGCAGCACGGGAGCUUGCUCCUGGUGGCGAGUGGCGAACGGGUGAGUAAUACAUCGGAACGUACCCUGAAGGUGGGGGAUAACGUAGCGAAAGUUACGCUAAUACCGCAUAUUCUGUGAGCAGGAAAGAGGGGGAUCGCAAGACCUCUUGCUUUAGGAGCGGCCGAUGUCGGAUUAGCUAGUUGGUGAGGUAAAGGCUCACCAAGGCGACGAUCCGUAGCGGGUCUGAGAGGAUGAUCCGCCACACUGGGACUGAGACACGGCCCAGACUCCUACGGGAGGCAGCAGUGGGGAAUUUUGGACAAUGGGCGCAAGCCUGAUCCAGCCAUGCCGCGUGAGUGAAGAAGGCCUUCGGGUUGUAAAGCUCUUUCGGUGGGGAAGAAAUUGCACAGGAUAAUACCUUGUGUAGAUGACGGUACCCGCAUAAGAAGCACCGGCUAACUACGUG
Molecule: ribosomal RNA, 494 nt
Filed under: uncultured bacterium
Lineage: Bacteria
Description: bacterial SSU rRNA
Rfam family: Bacterial small subunit ribosomal RNA
Source: RNAcentral